AGCGGGGUGGAGCAGUCUGGAGUGCUCAUCGGGCUCAUAACCCGAAGGUCGAAGGUUCAAAUCCUUCCUCCGCUA
RNAcentral lists this transfer RNA (75 nucleotides) under Candidatus Woesearchaeota archaeon. RNAcentral describes it as "tRNA-Met". It matches the Rfam family "tRNA". From Rfam's summary of the family: Transfer RNA (tRNA) molecules are approximately 80 nucleotides in length. Their secondary structure includes four short double-helical elements and three loops (D, anti-codon, and T loops). The record is from RNAcentral. Lineage: Archaea; Nanobdellati; Candidatus Woesearchaeota.